Molecule: long non-coding RNA, 816 nt
Filed under: Nicotiana benthamiana
Lineage: Eukaryota; Viridiplantae; Streptophyta; Magnoliopsida; Solanales; Solanaceae
Description: long non-coding RNA (NBEN_LNC040655)
Source: RNAcentral
UGUUUUUGGGUUUUUUUCCUGUGAUGUGUACCUCUGUCUUUGAAGAAAGAGAGGAGGGGGACUAGUUUAGGAGUCUCAUUUUUGAGAUUCAUUCAUUCAUAAGGGUGUAUGAUAAGAAAAAGUAGUCUUACUUGUUGCAGAAAGAAAAGUAGCAUUUUACAAACUGCUUUGAUUCAUUAAGAUGAAAACUUCACACAGGAAGUGUAUGUCACGUAUAUUUCUUAGUCUAUUAUUUAUGAGUUUUAUGGGCCUCCAUGUCUUUGUCUGUGUGUGGUUUCUGAGCUAGGAGCGCUUGGAAUUUAAGUCCUACUCAUUAAUAUACUAUCAAAAAAAGUGGCUCUCCUUCUCUUAUGAGAGAUAGGCGCUCUCUCUACGGCCAAUUCUCUUUAACAAAAAAGGCAUUCCCUGAUCGUAGACCAUCCUUUAUCCUUUCUUAUCUUGACUUUCUAAGUGAAGUCCUUUCAUGCGCGAGGAACUGUCUGAAAGUGAAAGGCAUCAUUGGUAGGCGCAGUGAAUCGGCAAUCGGGCAAUUCGUUAAACGAUAUCCGUAUAAUGAAUACCUUUUCUAAAGCCAUACCGCGAAUCUCUUGUCUUCUGGUAAAGGGUCGGAAUCAGUCCACAAAUGACUUACUUCUUCAAAUUAGAUCCCUUCCAUCGGUCGCAUCUGCCCUGUCUCAAUCGGUCGAGCUGUAUCGGUCAACUAUAGGAAACUGACCAAUAGCUCUUCUUUCUUUUGGUAAAGGUUAACGGUCCUGUUCAAGCAUUGGUGCAUAACGGGAGGCUAGCUCAGUAUAUUACCUUUCCUGUAGUUCUUUA